GGGGCCUUAGCUCAGCUGGGAGAGCGCCUGCUUUGCAAGCAGGAGGUCGCGGGUUCGAUCCCCGCAGGCUCCA
RNAcentral lists this transfer RNA (73 nucleotides) under Patulibacter medicamentivorans. It matches the Rfam family "tRNA". From Rfam's summary of the family: Transfer RNA (tRNA) molecules are approximately 80 nucleotides in length. Lineage: Bacteria; Bacillati; Actinomycetota; Thermoleophilia; Solirubrobacterales; Patulibacteraceae. The record is from Rfam by way of RNAcentral.